Molecule: long non-coding RNA, 2414 nt
Organism: Calidris pugnax (ruff)
Lineage: Eukaryota; Metazoa; Chordata; Aves; Charadriiformes; Scolopacidae
Exons: 4
Source: RefSeq, a predicted model, not a curated record
GGGUGGCACCUUGUACUCAAGGAAGCAUGACAUUGCUGUACCAUCACCUUCCCAAAAAGCCUGGAAUGUACCUUUUCCCAGGAAGGAAAGGACUUCUUUCUGGUUUAUCACCAGCAGCAUAACGAGGCCUCAUUUAGAAACUUCGAUUCAACUGAAGAAAAAUCCAGUCAUUUUUUGAAGUGAGAAGAUUUGUGAAGAUUAUGCCUGCAAAGAACCGUGAAGGCAAGCAGGAACUCAGCGACAUCUGGUGAUCCCGAGGUGAUCACAGCACUUGGACUACAAGGCUGGUGGGUAGAGCCGCAGAGACGGAGCCCAACAUCCCAGAGAGCGGCGGGUAGAGCUGCCGGAGGUGGCUUUGGAAGAGACACCUGGAUGAGAUUUCCCUCUGCCAUUCUGCUCCCCUGAGAACGGCACAACAAGCUGCUGUGUGUUGAGGUGCAGAUAAUGAGAAGAGUACAUUUUCCUGCAAUUUCUUCCCAGCGUGUCAGCUGCCUUGUUUUAUUCAGCAGAGCUGCAGCAGUUACACACGGAGGACCUCAGCUGCUUGCAGAGCAACCUACAGACCGUGCAUCCGCGAGCAGGAAUGGAAGGAAGGAAGCAGGGGUGGAAGAGCUCCUCUUUUAGUGGCAAAGAGCUGUCACGCCUGGUCGGUGUGCUGUUGAAUCAUAUCCUAAGGCCAUCACAACUACCGUUUCCUCCACAGUGUCACUCCUGCAGCAGUUAGCUUUGAUUGUCCCACUGCACCAUUGCUAGCGUGGCUUUUAUCCAAAGACAACUGUGUAAAGAUAGAAAAAUGAGAAAGGGUUUGGGAGUUUUUAAGCUGGCAGAACAUAGUGUGCUGACUCUUGCACUUGUGUAGAUACGCAGAGCUCUGGAGCUCUGAAAAGCUCAGGCACCAGCCAGCAGAACGACCAACCAAAGGUCUAAGCCACAAGCUGGACAGACUCGAAAGAUAAAUUCUAGUUUAAUUUUAAGACUGAGAAAAGAAAGCAGGGACAGAAAAAAUCACUGGGACCGGUGCAACAAACCACUAACCUUUAAGAUAGUGCUCAAGAAAAUAUUAAACUCACCUACUAUGAAAGCGUGGAUAUAUCUGCUAGUACUUUGAAUAGCAGGGAUGAAGGUGUUGGAGUUACACUGCUGUCUUUGUUUACUGGUGAAGAUGACACGGUGAAGAAAAUCAGGAAACAUAUUACAGAACUAAACGGAAAAGGGAGCUCAGCUCCAGGCUUCAAGCAGGUGCAUGAUCCAGGGAUGAGCCAGACAAGGAGAACUUGGGGCUGGCAGGAGUUUGAAACAAUGAAUGUCCAGGAAAAUAGGACUUUGUAAGCAAACACCUGUCAUCAUCAGAGAAGUUCUGCUAUUAGUUUUAAAAGAAUAUCCACAGGAUUCCAUUUCUGGACAAGAAAGGAGGAUUUGGGGCCAUGCUGGGUACAAUAAUAAUAGUUCCUGGCAUUGGCAAGCUGGAAGGAAAGUGAUGAUUGAAGUUCUGCUGUGUCAUCAGGCAAAGGUGAUCUUCAGUCUAACAUAGUGGCGUGUAAAUUUAAAGAAACCCAGCAAAACAGGUAUCAUUUUUCCUGUGGUUAUUAAUUUGAUGAUUUGUUAAUUUUUAUAUAAAGCACAAAAAGUAUGCACUCAUGAGGGAUAGACCACUAAAGAAAUGGGUAAAAAUCUGGUACCAUUUAAGUUUGUCAGGAGUCAGAUCCACUCCCAUUUUCUGCCUAUCUUGUGCAAAGUUCUUUGAAAGAAGUUUUCUAUUGAAAACAGAAAUUAAACGUAUGAAAAGAGCCCAGUGCCCCAACAAGAGUGAGAGCAUCCACAUGUCAGAAAACAUCCUGCUCUUGCAGAAUUGCCUCUUAUUUUCAGCCUACACCAAAUUUCUACACCUCAACAGCCAAAGUAGCUCAAUAAUACAGGAGCUGACUGUGUGCCCAGAAUAUUGAGCUUGCUUUUUAAAUUACAAACCAGAGCUCAUUAGCACUGCUCUGGGAGCAACCAAGAAAUGGCCUUCUCCAAUCCCCCCAAGCUGUACUGUUGGUUAUUCCUAUAUAUCAACAUGGUUGGGUUUUCCUGGCCUACACAUGGAUAGAGAUGGAAUCUGUGGGCUAAACUACGAAGGAGGAGCCUGGUGAUCCCAAACUGACCACAUCUAAACUACCCUCUUGGCCCAUAACUACAGUUUCAGGAUGAGCUGCUUGGUGUUUCAUGGUUGACCAGGUGGUUCUUGUACUACUGCUGGCCCUUUGCUUCUGAGAGCCCACACGGAUUGCAGAAGCAACCCGAGGGAAGCGCGGCGUUCGUUCCGCAAUAGGUGAUGAGUAACUCCCACAAGACUCCUCUUCUGUUUCUUGAAAUAGAACAUGAAAGUUACUAGGUCCUUAAUGUGGUAAUUUAACUUGAGGCUUAAAACGCUG